Molecule: long non-coding RNA, 293 nt
Filed under: Lathyrus oleraceus (garden pea)
Lineage: Eukaryota; Viridiplantae; Streptophyta; Magnoliopsida; Fabales; Fabaceae
Description: Pisum sativum (pea) long non-coding RNA (PSAT_LNC009838)
Source: RNAcentral
UUUAAUCAUUACCAAAGACACCGACAAAAAAUAUGUUUUAACAUCGCAUAAUAGAACUUCAACAUGUUUUAAGUCCAAAAUAAUUCAAAAAAUAAAAUAAAUAAAGAACAAUUACAAGAACAACCUAACAAAAUAGACUCGAGCACAAGAAAAUAGUAUAUCAAAAUAAACAAAUACCAUAACAAAAUAGACUCUAGCACAAGAAAAAAUAUAUCAAAAUAAACAAAUAAAGAAAAACAACACAUAUCAUCAUCCUAAUCCUAUUUAAAAACUAACUACUCAAAUAACCCAAU